This 657-nucleotide long non-coding RNA is filed under the name Gossypium barbadense (sea-island cotton). Its description in RNAcentral is "long non-coding RNA (GBAR_LNC010038)". The record is from RNAcentral. Lineage: Eukaryota; Viridiplantae; Streptophyta; Magnoliopsida; Malvales; Malvaceae.
GUUGGAGCUCUAUCUGCUCUCUAAACCUGAAGGUGGACUUGGAUUAAAAGAUUUAGUAAGCUUGUAUGAUGCAGCAUAUAAGUGCCAUCUUGGCUAAGGAGGGCUGCUUUUGGGUGGCACCGUGUUUUUUUGGAGUAUGAAAAUAACAAAGUGGUAGUAUUGAUGGAGAUUUUGAAGGUGAGGAAUUUGCUUCAACUGUGAUUAUUUCUCCUGAUGCUCCAAGGCAGUCUGUUUCUAAGAUUUGGAACGGGGCUAGAAAGCAGAAAAUGAAUGUCAGAUGGGAUAAACUUAUAUGUUUUGCCUCGCACAUUUCCAAGCUUUAUGUUACUAUUAGAAAAAAAAACAAAAAAAAAACAAAUUACACUUAUCCCGAACAAUGACAAUUAAACUGUUUAACCAAGGGGCAAGACACUUGCCACGACUCACAGCCCCCGACCAAGGCGCCUCCACAUGGACAAGUUUCAACUUUCAACACUGUAUAAUGAAAAGAAAAUUGAAGUAGGAUAUCAAACUUGAACAUCCCAAUGUUAAUGGGAUUUGACAUCUACGAACUGGGCCUUCAUUCAGACUUUAUCAAUAGAAAAAGGAAAACCCAAUUUCAACUGAGGCAGGUGCGAUAUAUUUUAUAUAUUCCAUAGCCAACAAUUUUCCUAACGC